AUAAACUGAUUACUGAAGGCUAAACAUGACUUCCAACAAACCGGAAGUGGCCAAUUAUUUCCUCUUCUACAAACAAAAGUAUAUAGAAACUAUAUAUUUUUGGAAUCAGUGUGAAAGAAGCUAUCAUAUGAGACCGGAAGUAGCAUAUUAUCUCCCUUAUAUCACUCAAAAAUAUAAUUAAACCAUUAUUUAUCGCAUCGGUAUGAAGAAACUAUCUUCUUAUCAAAAUUUCUUUGGUAUGGAAAGACUUUCAAUUGUUCUCUGAACAAUUGGUUUUUAAUUAUUAUUAUUAGGUCUUUCCACUUUUCUGUGGAAAGCCUAUUGUAUUUGUUCUGAUUAUUAUUAGGUCUUUCCACUUUUCUGUGGAAAGACCUAUUGUUUUUCUUCUGAUUAUUUUUUUUUUUUUUUCUUCCGCCUAAUUUUGUUCUUGCGAUAAACAUUUGUUUCGCAAUAUGUCGCUUAGAUAUUUUGUAUAUGAUAUCGAACAGUUUAUGCGCUUUUGAAAUUUACCCUGCGUAAACGAAUACUUUUCUUUGUAGGAGUUAUCUCCCCAAACACUGUUUUCCUUGUUAGCGCAUCUCCUUCGCAACCGUUAAAGAUUAUGACAAAUUUAUUUUACAAAAUUGCUCGUUAUAUCCUUGGCAUGAUUUGUC
Molecule: long non-coding RNA, 653 nt
Filed under: Mytilus galloprovincialis (Mediterranean mussel)
Lineage: Eukaryota; Metazoa; Mollusca; Bivalvia; Mytilida; Mytilidae
Source: RNAcentral